AGUGAACGCUGGCGGUAGGCCUAACACAUGCAAGUCGAACGGCAGCACAGGAGAGCUUGCUCUCUGGGUGGCGAGUGGCGGACGGGUGAGGAAUACAUCGGAAUCUACUUUUUCGUGGGGGAUACGGAGGGAAACUUACGCUAAUACCCCAUUUCACCUACGGGUUGAAGCCGGGGACCUUUGGGCCUUGCGCGAAUGAAUUAGCCGAGGUCGGAUUAGCUAGUUGGCGGGGUAAAGGGCCACCAAGGCGACGAUCCGGAGCUGGGCUGAGAGGAUGAUCAGCCACACUGGAAGUGAGACACGGUCCAGACUCCGACGGGAGGCAGCAGUGGGAAAUAUUGGACAAGGGGCGCAAGCCUGAUCCAGCCAUACCGCGUGGGUGAAGAAGGCCUUCGGGUUGUAAAGCCCUUUUGUUGGGAAAGAAAUCCAGCUGGCUAAUACCCGGUUGGGAUGACGGUACCCAAAGAAUAAGCACCGGCUAACUUCGUGCCAGCCGCCGCAGUAA
This 505-nucleotide ribosomal RNA is filed under the name uncultured bacterium. Its description in RNAcentral is "partial 16S ribosomal RNA". It matches the Rfam family "Bacterial small subunit ribosomal RNA", at positions 29 to 523 of the family's 1533-position model. The record is from RNAcentral.